GUUUUCAUACCUGAAUUCACAGUGAUGUAUAAUUUUCAGGCCCCUUAUCCCUUACCACUAUGUUCUCACCUUCCUUUGGCAGCCAGGAGGCCCAACCAUACCCUGGGGCGCAUCAGGCAUGACAUUGCUAGCCAGUUGAGGGAAGGGAUUGUCCUGCUCUGCUCUGUGCUGGUGUGGUCUCACCUUGAGUACUGUGUGUGGAUUUGGGCGCCACAGUAUAAGAAAGAUAUAAAACUGUUAGAGAGUGUCCAAAGGAGGGCUACAUAAAUGGAGAAGGGUCUGAAGGGCAAGAUAUAUGAGGAGCAGCUGAGGUCCCUUGGUUUGUUCAGCCCAGAGCAGAGCAGGCUGAGGGGAGGCCUCAUGGCGGCCUGCAGCUCCCUCACGAGGGGAGUGGAGGGGCAGGCGCUGAGCUCUGCUCUCUGGGGACAGCGACAGGACCCGAGGGAACGGCAUGGGGCUGGGACAGGGGAGGGUCAGGCUGGGUGUUAGGAAAAGGUUCUUCACCGAGGUAUUUGGGCACUGGGACAGGCUCCCCAGGGAAGUGGACACAGCACCAAGCUUCCCUUUCCUUUCUUUGCCUUUCCUUACCUUGCUUUGCCUUGCCUUUCCUUUUCAUUUCUUUCUGUCAGGCAGAACCACUGUCAUCCCUGGGGCUGGGCCUUGUGAGGAGGAUCUCAUCUGCGAGAAACUGGCUUGCCUUCCACCAGUGCAGCAUGGCAGGGUUCACGGAGCACUCAAAGUCCUCCUAUUUAGAAAUCCUCACAGAGUCUAAGUGAAGAAAAAUCUGUGGAACAUCUUUCAUCCUGAGCCACAUGGUGCUGGCCUCCUCAGAGAAAGAGUGAGAUGCCUGGGGAUAUACAGUGCAAGAACGCCUUCCAAUGCUCUUAUCCAAGUUUUGAGAAGAACAGAGGGUGACAAUAUCUAGAUUUGCCAGUAUUGCCCCUUUCACUUACAUAGCCUAUCUGAGCAUAAUCUGUUCUUUGAAAGCAGAAGAAAGCACUAUUGGAAAACUGGGGAUUUAACGAAAUUGAAUGAUAAUUUCAAAAGCUCAUUUAGAAGGGCUUACCUGUAGUCUCUUCAUAACAGUUGCAAGAAGGUUGUUCGCAAUAGGUUGAAAUCAUCCUUUCUGAAGCAUGUCUCUUAAUGUCAAUGCCUGUACAGCCUUUAUAUUUACCUGUACGUACUGCAUGGAUAGGGACUAACACAUUCCGGGUCCACAAACCAGUCUCAUUGGAAAGUGGGAGGAAGAUUUAUUUUUCAAAUAAAAUAUAAUAUUAUGAGGGUAGGGAUCUUUAU
RNAcentral lists this long non-coding RNA (1296 nucleotides) under Anser brachyrhynchus (Pink-footed goose). Its description in RNAcentral is "lncRNA (ENSABRG00000020408.1)". The record is from RNAcentral. Lineage: Eukaryota; Metazoa; Chordata; Aves; Anseriformes; Anatidae.